UGCAGUCGAACGAUGAACCACUUCGGUGGGGAUUAGUGGCGAACGGGUGAGUAACACGUGGGCAAUCUGCCCUGCACUCUGGGACAAGCCCUGGAAACGGGGUCUAAUACCGGAUACUGACCUUCACGGGCAUCUGUGAAGGUCGAAAGCUCCGGCGGUGCAGGAUGAGCCCGCGGCCUAUCAGCUUGUUGGUGAGGUAAUGGCUCACCAAGGCGACGACGGGUAGCCGGCCUGAGAGGGCGACCGGCCACACUGGGACUGAGACACGGCCCAGACUCCUACGGGAGGCAGCAGUGGGGAAUAUUGCACAAUGGGCGAAAGCCUGAUGCAGCGACGCCGCGUGAGGGAUGACGGCCUUCGGGUUGUAAACCUCUUUCAGCAGGGAAGAAGCGAAAGUGACGGUACCUGCAGAAGAAGCGCCGGCUAACUACGUGCCAGCAGCCGCGGUAAUACGUAGGGCGCAAGCGUUGUCCGGAAUUAUUGGGCGUAAAGAGCUCGUAGGCGGCUUGUCACGUCGGUUGUGAAAGCCCGGGGCUUAACCCCGGGUCUGCAGUCGAUACGGGCAGGCUAGAGUUCGGUAGGGGAGAUCGGAAUUCCUGGUGUAGCGGUGAAAUGCGCAGAUAUCAGGAGGAACACCGGUGGCGAAGGCGGAUCUCUGGGCCGAUACUGACGCUGAGGAGCGAAAGCGUGGGGAGCGAACAGGAUUAGAUACCCUGGUAGUCCACGCCGUAAACGGUGGGCACUAGGUGUGGGCAACAUUCCACGUUGUCCGUGCCGCAGCUAACGCAUUAAGUGCCCCGCCUGGG
RNAcentral lists this ribosomal RNA (806 nucleotides) under Streptomyces sp. MBTD_CMFRI_St03. Its description in RNAcentral is "bacterial SSU rRNA". It matches the Rfam family "Bacterial small subunit ribosomal RNA", at positions 56 to 877 of the family's 1533-position model. The record is from RNAcentral. Lineage: Bacteria; Bacillati; Actinomycetota; Actinomycetes; Kitasatosporales; Streptomycetaceae.